ACGAACGCUGGCGGCGUGCUUAACCCAUGCAAGUCGAACGGAAAGGCCCUGCUUUUGUGGGGUGCUCGAGUGGCGAACGGGUGAGUAACACGUGAGUAACCUGCCCUUGACUUUGGGAUAACUUCAGGAAACUGGGGCUAAUACCGGAUAGGAGCUCCUGCUGCAUGGUGGGGGUUGGAAAGUUUCGGCGGUUGGGGAUGGACUCGCGGCUUAUCAGCUUGUUGGUGGGGUAGUGGCUUACCAAGGCUUUGACGGGUAGCCGGCCUGAGAGGGUGACCGGCCACAUUGGGACUGAGAUACGGCCCAGACUCCUACGGGAGGCAGCAGGGGGGAAUAUUGCACAAUGGGCGGAAGCCUGAUGCAGCAACGCCGCGUGCGGGAUGACGGCCUUCGGGUUGUAAACCGCUUUCGCCUGUGGCGAAGCGUGAGUGACGGUAAUGGGUAAAGAAGCACCGGCUAACUACGUG
Molecule: ribosomal RNA, 467 nt
Filed under: uncultured bacterium
Lineage: Bacteria
Description: partial 16S ribosomal RNA
Rfam family: Bacterial small subunit ribosomal RNA
Source: RNAcentral